GUUUAAACCACCUGCCUGCCUAAGUGGCAAAGCUAGCUGCUCACAGGACAGCUCUGAAUCUGACUAAGCUUAUUCCAUCAAACUUCACUCCAGAAUUUUCAAAUCACCGAACCCCAAAGUUAUGGGAAUUUGUUGCCAAGGGAGAAAGACAGUGGAAUUUCUGCUUUCCUGAUCUGCAGAAACUAUAAAACUGACCCAAUAGAUAUGGAUAUCGCCUCAUCAGCAAAGCAGCACUCUCGCAUAUUCUUUCCUGAAGGUAUAAUCCAACAUUAAAUUCAGGAUUUAUAUAGUUUCAAUAUGCUCCUCAUUGAUUCCAGAUUAGACUGUAUUGCCUGCCCUCAUGAGAUGUGUUUCUCCUCCAAGAAUUCCUGAUAGUCCUCUGGUGUGUAUGUGUGUGCACUCAUGCAUUUGGCUUUCAGCUACAGCCACCAUAUGAAUAGAAAGAAUGGACAUACAAAGAAUCACAUUUGCCUUCCACUUCUGCAAUUUGCUGACCCUAGCAGACUACACGAACUAGAUGAUUGGAACUCCUCAAGGGUAACCUCUGUAAGACUGCAGACUUAAAGGUUGUCAGCAACUUGGCUUAUAUCUGCAGUGGCUUUGUUUCUCUCCAGUGCAUAAACCAAAGGGCUUGAUGCUUCCUGUCUGGUUUCUAGCUCUGACUGAUGUAGAGGGUAAUGUAAACACCAUAAAGAAUCCAUAGGGAAGUUCAUAUAAGGCCAAAAACGGAAUCUGAAAAUAAAGUAUCUAAAUAUACAUGCUAAC
This 765-nucleotide long non-coding RNA is filed under the name Homo sapiens (human). RNAcentral describes it as "HSALNT0040373". The record is from RNAcentral. Lineage: Eukaryota; Metazoa; Chordata; Mammalia; Primates; Hominidae.